GCGUUGGACUUUUAAUCCAACGGUCAAGGGUUCAAGUCCCUUAUCGGGCU
Molecule: non-coding RNA, 50 nt
Organism: Ciona savignyi (Pacific transparent sea squirt)
Lineage: Eukaryota; Metazoa; Chordata; Ascidiacea; Phlebobranchia; Cionidae
Source: Rfam